Non-coding RNA from Nomia melanderi (Alkali bee), 2036 nucleotides. Lineage: Eukaryota; Metazoa; Arthropoda; Insecta; Hymenoptera; Halictidae. The record is from RefSeq and is a predicted model, not a curated record.
ACUACAAGAUAACGAAGAAUUAAAAUACAAACUUCUCCGCAAACAUGAUAUUACGAAGAUGGUAAAAUGUUUGCAAAUAAGCACUAUAGUAGCAACAUGUAUUAUAUCAAAUGAAUAAUUUCAACUCGACCAGUUAACGUCGCAUAUGACAGAUAAGGUAUAUUAAUAAAAUCAAAGACCGCUGGAGAUGAUGCAAAGAUCACGAAAAGAAAUCGACAAGACGAUUGCGCAUAAUGUGGAAACGUAUCUACAGGAAAAUGGUGAAAAUUAUGAUUCAUCGGUUCAAAGUUACUUAACAUCUUCUCAAAGAUUGUUCUACGCCCAGAAGGCAACAUUGGUGCAACAACAGUAUUUUGUGAUUCAGUGAUGAAAGAAAAUUUUCACGUGACAGACGUACGCCACCGACACGAGUACACCAUAAGUUCCGAGGGAUGAGGGCGAGCGUGCACGUAUAACGUUACAUACCUUAUCAAAUGAUCGCCACCCUGCGGGUCGGCUCUCGGUUAUUGACGGAAUGAUGAAAGUUUUCGGUGACUGGAUCUCAAAAAUCAGUCAAAUCGUUCGGUGAAGGUUGAAUCUUCGUUUGUAUGGCGACCAAUGCCUAUCGAAAUCUUCCGCAACCGAUUCUUCGUUUAAAAUGUCGAGAAAAAACAUUCGUUCGCUCGUUCGUAACUGCUUAAAAGUUACGAGCGAAUUUUAACGCACCGAUCGGAUUACGUUAUAAUCGUUUUUCGUGUCGAAAAAUACGUUAAAUCUGGCGAAAUCCGUAAAACCUCCUCCCACGAACACACCACCGAGCAAGAGCUCUUAGGAAGAUUCGCAAAUGCAUCCAACACGAGCACAUUCGAUUUUGUAACUCGAACUUCGAGGGUUUGAACUCGAUAAUCGAAGCUAAUAGCAUGGAAUCGAUUACUCGGAUUCAAAUUAGGAAUAUAACAGAAUAAAAUUACAGAAUUUCACUGAGUUGCAUCAAUAUUUUUUAUUUACACUUAGUAAUUUUAAUAAACACACAUGGUAUCAGCAAAGUAAGCACUCAGUGCAUAAAAUUUAUAUAACGCUGUGGCGAGUAAAGUUUUAUCUUUUGAAAAGAUGAAACUGUUUCCAUUUUCUAGCUAUAGGUUCACUUCCAGAACGCCACCUCGUGGUUUACCGUUUAAAGAAUAAGAGUAAAAAAUGGACUACUUGAAUCUUUUACAUCUCUAUCAUUAACAAAGCUUUUAUCACAGGCCAUCUGUGUUUUUAUCUUUUUUUCAUUUUAUCAUUAAAGUAUAUAUAUUGUAUUUGAAAAAAGCUUAGAUUUAUAUAAAUCAAAAGAAGUAAUAUUGGAGAUAAUAAAAUAUUGAGAAAUCAAAUUGUGUAAUUCAUAUUCUAAAUUUGAAAACUUUGUAACUUAAUAUUAACAUUUAUCAUAUAUUAUGUAAAUAUAAAUCUCUAACAGAUCAGGACCACAUACAAAACACAAUAAACUAUCUCAAAGAAAUCAAUAUGUUCAACAAGAUAUAAGACUGAAGCAGUAGAUGCGAUGUAAAAUUUAAAAAACGAAGAACAAAUAUAAAUAUAUAUUUUAAAUAACAAAUUAUGUAGUACAUAAAUAUCAGCAAUCUAUAUUAUUAAGUACAUAUUAGUUAAAAUAAAUAAAUUUACUCAAAUAUAUUAUUAUUUAUGUUCAGCACAAAAUUCUAUAAAAAUUCCCAUUGAAGGGUAGAAGUGCCAUUGCUGUGCAGAGUUAUUUCAUCGGUAUUAAACAGAGGUAUCACAGGGUGUAAGAAGAUAUAACCAAGAAUAGAAUGGAAUGUCCAGUUUUUAUUAGAGCAUAUCUUUCCCAUAGAUUCCUACUAAGCAAUUAUAAAAAAUUUGGUUAAAUUGGUCAGAAAGUAUUUUAGGGACUGUAAGAAAUGUAAUAUAUAUUUACAUAGCCAUUCAAUUAUAAAUAUAUUGAAUAACAAAUAAUUAUAAAUAAUGAUAAGCACAUAGGAGAAAUCUGCAAGUAUAUAAAUCAACUGAUAGAGUGCUAUUAUGAUGAUAUGUUGAUACAG